CGGCAUCAAAGUAAGAACCUUUUCGUGGUGAUGCUAUUUAAACUAAUCUUACU
This 53-nucleotide non-coding RNA is filed under the name unclassified sequences. The record is from RNAcentral.